CAAUUGUUUUUAUUGGAAUUGGUUAAGGUUAAAUUAGGUAAAAAUUGAAAAUUUGUAAAAACAAAAAAGUUACUUAUUCUACUAGAAACUCUCUUUUCCGUUUAUAUAUUGCCGACAGAGGGAGUAUAUAAACUCAUAUUCACUUUUGUUUACCCAGAUCUACCCGUAUUUACUUCAUUUACUCUUUCUUCCUACAUCUGCAACUAUCUCUAAUGAGUAUAAUAUCUAUUCUUUUUCGAAGUCUUUCACUGGUAGAAAGGUUUGACGUGCUAGAACAUUUCAUACACUUGGUUGGGAAAGUUUGGACACAAUAGCACACUUUUUCUCCGCAAUCAAGAUUGGUAUCUCCUUUCUGGGAUUUGGAAGUUUCCUCAAGUUAUUGUUGAUUUUUUCAAUCUGGGGGUACAUGCUUUUGAAUUAAAUGAAUACCCAGUAAACACACAUCCAAAAGCAACAUCAAGCUAGGUUUCCCACAAAAGCAUCUUCAGGCUUCAUGACUCCGGUUACGAUCUACUCUCCAACAACAAAAAAGACACAUGUAGCAAAGAUGCCAGCAGCAAGACAUUCACAGAAGAUACCAGCAUCAGAAAAUGUUACAAGACCGAGUCAGAAGAACCCAAACCGAUCCAUACUGAUUCUAUCACAUGAAAACCGAGUUAAGUUAUGUCGGUUACCUUUUUUAUUGUUACUAUAAAAUCAUUGACACUGGGUUGGAUUUAUGGAUCCUGCUUUAGCUAUGCCAGCACUAUGAUUUUGAUAAAACCCUUGAGAAAUAGUUGGAUUCACGAAUCCUGACAUUUCUAUUGAUUAUAGAAUUGUUAUUUGAGCUGGAUGGGUCAUUUUUGAUCCAGCCAAGACCAUUGAAACUAGUUCUGUUACUUUGGAAUCGGAUAGGAACGGUAGGAUUUUUUUUUCCAGAAUUGGUCUAGUAAAUAUGUUGUUAAGUCUCUUCAUUAUCA
Long non-coding RNA from Papaver somniferum (opium poppy), 959 nucleotides. RefSeq lists it as uncharacterized. NCBI's taxonomy places the organism in Eukaryota, Viridiplantae, Streptophyta, Magnoliopsida, Ranunculales, Papaveraceae. The transcript has 3 exons. The record is from RefSeq and is a predicted model, not a curated record.